Molecule: ribosomal RNA, 354 nt
Filed under: Aurospio sp. 249 PB
Lineage: Eukaryota; Metazoa; Annelida; Polychaeta; Spionida; Spionidae
Description: partial 16S ribosomal RNA
Rfam family: Bacterial large subunit ribosomal RNA
Source: RNAcentral
AUCGAGGAAAAUAAAAAUUAACCUUCAAGUGAAGAGACUUGAGUAUCAUAAAAAGACGAAAAGACCCUAUGGAGCUUUACUUAAAUUAUUAAACCACAAAUAAAAAAAGCUUUUUUUACUAAAAAAGUUUAGUUGGGGCGACUAAGGAGCACACACCACCCUCCUACUGACAAAAGACUCUAAAUCUACAAAAGAUCCACAAACGUGAAUAAAAAUCCAGCUACCCUAGGGAUAACAGGCUAAUCCUCCUUAAGAGCUCAAAUUGACAGGAGGGCUUGGCACCUCGAUGUUGGCUUAAGAUCUCUACUAAGUGCAGCAGCUUAGGUAGUAGGUUUGUUCAACCUUUAAAAUCUU